Molecule: RNA transcript, 979 nt
Organism: Lolium perenne
Lineage: Eukaryota; Viridiplantae; Streptophyta; Magnoliopsida; Poales; Poaceae
Source: RefSeq, a predicted model, not a curated record
UGAGCCCACAAACACAAACCCCUCCUCUUCGACUCUCUCUCUUCCCUUCCCAUGGAGGCGCCGCACCACGCACCCGCCGCCGGCGAAACCCCACCUGCGCCGGCCGCAGAGAGCAGCAGCAGCUCCGAGGAGUCGCGGUGGCUCGCGAGCCUCUCCGAGCCCGAGCUCGAUUUCCUCAUCAGCUUGAAGAUGCUGGCUGUGAAGCGGGCCGAGACCGCCGGCCGCCCUCACCUCGCCGACGCGUUCGAUCUGCGCACGCUGCGGGCGAUCGGUGUUGCUUUGCUGGAGAGUCUCAAAGAACGCCUAAAAGAAACCGCGGUUGAUCCAACCAUUCUUGAUAGACUUGCACUCUCAAGGGAUCCUGAUGCGGAUGCGGAUGCUAAUGCCAGCGUCAGCAGUAGCGAUUCCGAGGUGUUCAGGCGGCACAGCAAAGAUCAGCCAGAGCCAAGUAGCGUCAAGAGUAAACGGAAGAGGAUGCAGGAUGGGUUCCAAAGCAAAAGGAGGAGAAAACUGAGCGAGAGCAGAUAGUGGCGAGCAUAGAUUGCUAUGACUUUUCUUGCUAAUACAAGUGAUCAAGUGCAAACACCCAGGGCUAUUGUUGAGCAAGAUCGCUGAUGAUGCUGCUACUGCUGCUGCUGGAGGUCAUCAUCCAGAAUGAAUAUAUGGAAGAGAAAAAUGAGCAAGAGGAGAUAGCGGUGAGCAGAUUUCGACAAUUUUCCUACUGCUAGUGAUCUAGUGCAGACACCCAGGGCUUUUGCUGAGGAAGAUAGCUGAGGCUGCUGCUGGUAGUGUAAAUUUUGCAACGCCUUUAGUUGUUGCAGUUGUCUUUCAAGCUUUUCUUGUUCAUAGUAACAAUAAGUGAAGAACUCAACUACAUAGAUGCCCCUUUAUUCAGUAUAAGUGUUUUUGAAUGGAUGUAACCAAAGGGGCAUUUUAUUGUUAACCUACAUCAUACCCAGUCCAUUUUAUAUUUUGGCUA